Molecule: long non-coding RNA, 1454 nt
Filed under: Gopherus agassizii (Agassiz's desert tortoise)
Lineage: Eukaryota; Metazoa; Chordata; Testudines; Testudinidae
Description: lncRNA (ENSGAGG00000014000.1)
Source: RNAcentral
CCAAGGUGGGGUAGGGGCUCUGGGUCCCAUAUGGAGGGGAUGGCAGCUCUUGGGGCUACCCGCUAUCUCCUUCCCACCUGACUGUGCCUUGAGUGGCCCCUACCCCGUGGGGCCCGCAGGGCUGGGGCCUGACGGCCUGUGGCUCUGUGCCCCCCAGAACGAGUGCCAGCACUACCACGCCAAGGCCAAGAAACACGCCAAGAGAGGCAGGAAGCACCACCGGAAGCGUUCGCAGUCGGUGAGGGCCAGGGCCGGGGUCAGGGGACCGGGCGGCUGGAGCAGGGCGAGGGUCUGGGCCUGUCUGCUGGGCUCACGCAGAGCCAGGCCUGCGGGCAGGGGGCUGGAGCUGGGUCUGCACCCCGGAUGCCCAUUGGUGCUGGUGGACAGGGGUAGGGAGAGCAGGGGAUUUCAGGCCAGUCAGGUCCUGCUCCGUGGGAUUCGCUGGGGCGAGGGGGGGCCAGCCUGGGCCACGUUAACCCCCCCUCCCCUCCCCGCCAGGGCUCAGAGUCGGAGCUCGAGGCCCAGCACCAGCGGGCCCAGAAGAGGAGGAAGCGGAAUCCCUCGGAGUCCGGUUCGGAGCUCUCCUCCUCGCCCGGCUCAGGUGGGCGCCGGGGCUGCCCUGGCAGGUGGGCGGGACGGGGUGACUGGGUCCCCUGGCGCCUGCCUGAUGCCCCCUCUGCCCGCAGAUCUCAGCUCCCGCAAGGCCAGGAAACAGAAGAAGAAAAGCAAGAAGAGGAGGCACAAAUCGGUGAGUGCAGCGGGCGAGGGCGGUGCCAAGCCGGGGGUGGCGAGAGCGCUGGUGGAAUCCCCCCCUGAGCCCCAGCCACUGUGUUACAGAACAGCCCCCAGAGCGAGGGCGAGCGGGGCAGGAAGGGGAAGGAGAAGGAGCCGGAGCGGGCAGAGGGCCGACGGCGCUCCCCCCAGCGCAGCCUCAAGAGGGAGAAGAGCGUCUGGGACACGUCGGACAGUGAGCCGAGCGAGGGCGAGCUGGAGAAGCGGCGUCGGACACUGCUGCAGCAGCUGGACGACGAUCAGUAGCCAGGUCUGCGGGACUGUCGCUGAGCUGGGGCUCCCUCAGCUCCCCACCCCUCUCCCCAGCCUGGGGAGAGGCUCCGGACAGCUCGAUGCGGGCGGGGGGCUCCUGAGAGAGCAGAGAGGGGGCCCCGCUCCACCCAGGACUCCUUCCCCCCAUCCCUGCGGAUCCCCCCCGCACCUGAGGACCCAUCGCCCCUGGGGCUGCUGUGACCACCUCUGCUUGGCUGGCCCCUCGGCGCUCAGAGGACCGGCCCCAGGACAGCGGCGCUUUGGAGGGGGUUCGAAUGCGGCUCUCACAGGUGGUUCUGUGGCUGCGCUGAGGAUCAUGGGUGCCUGGGGCGCCCUGCGGGGUUGGCUGCGGGGGCGUGUGCUGCUGAGUAGCCGGGACCCUCGGCCUGCUCGUACUCUGGGAAUUAAAG